GACGAACGCUGGCGGCGUGCCUAAUACAUGCAAGUCGAACGAAGCUGUUUUAACUGGUGCUUGCACCGACUUAAACAACUGAGUGGCGGACGGGUGAGUAACACGUGGGUAACCUGCCCAGAAGUGGGGGAUAACAUUUGGAAACAGACGCUAAUACCGCAUAAAAGUCAAAACCACAUGGUUUUGAUUUAAAAGAUGGCCUUUGUGCUAUCACUUCUGGAUGAAACCGCGGCGUAUUAGCUAGUUGGUAAGGUAACGGCUUACCAAGGCAAUGAUACGUAGCCAAACUGAGAGGUUGAUCGGCCACAAUGGGACUGAGACACGGCCCAUACUCCUACGGGAGGCAGCAGUAGGGAAUCUUCCACAAUGGGCGCAAGCCUGAUGGAGCAACACCGCGUGAGUGAAGAAGGGUUUCGGCUCGUAAAACUCUGUUGUUAAAGAAGAACGUAUCUAAGAGUAACUGCUUAGGUAGUGACGGUAUUUAACCAGAAAGCCACGGCUAACUACGUGCCAGCCGCCGCUGUAA
RNAcentral lists this ribosomal RNA (526 nucleotides) under uncultured bacterium. RNAcentral's name for it is "partial 16S ribosomal RNA". It matches the Rfam family "Bacterial small subunit ribosomal RNA", at positions 28 to 523 of the family's 1533-position model. The record is from RNAcentral.